This 64-nucleotide ribosomal RNA is filed under the name Hederorkis seychellensis. RNAcentral's name for it is "partial 26S ribosomal RNA". Lineage: Eukaryota; Viridiplantae; Streptophyta; Magnoliopsida; Asparagales; Orchidaceae. The record is from RNAcentral.
CGACCCCAGGAUGGGCGAGUCCACCCGCCGAGUUUAAGCAUAUCAAUAAGCGGAGGAGAAGAAA